Molecule: unclassified non-coding RNA, 251 nt
Filed under: Querciphoma carteri
Lineage: Eukaryota; Fungi; Ascomycota; Dothideomycetes; Pleosporales; Leptosphaeriaceae
Description: sequence contains 5.8S rRNA gene
Rfam family: 5.8S ribosomal RNA (bases 1-53)
Source: RNAcentral
GAACGCACAUUGCGCCCCUUGGUAUUCCAUGGGGCAUGCCUGUUCGAGCGUCAUUUGUACCCUCAAGCUUUGCUUGGUGUUGGGCGUUUGUCCCGCGUUGCGCGUGGACUCGCCUUAAAGCGAUUGGCAGCCGGCAUAUUGGCCUUGGAGCGCAGCACAUUUUGCGCUUCUAGUCAUGAAUGUUGGCAUCCAUUAAGCCUAUACAUUUGCUCUUGACCUCGGAUCAGGUAGGGAUACCCGCUGAACUUAAG